RNAcentral lists this ribosomal RNA (253 nucleotides) under uncultured bacterium. RNAcentral describes it as "partial 16S ribosomal RNA". It matches the Rfam family "Bacterial small subunit ribosomal RNA", at positions 524 to 776 of the family's 1533-position model. The record is from RNAcentral.
UACGGGGGGAGCAAGCGCUGUCCGGAUUUACUGGGCGUAAAGAGCGCGCAGGCGGUCGUUCAAGUCGAGUGUGAAAGCCCCCGGCUCAACUGGGGAGGGUCACUCGAUACUGAUCGACUCGAAGGCAGGAGAGGGAAGCGGAAUUCCCGGUGUAGUGGUGAAAUGCGUAGAUAUCGGGAGGAACACCAGUGGCGAAGGCGGCUUUCUGGCCUGUUCUUGACGCUGAGGCGCGAAAGCUAGGGUAGCAAACGGG